Arachis duranensis is the source of this 383-nucleotide long non-coding RNA. RefSeq lists it as uncharacterized. NCBI's taxonomy places the organism in Eukaryota, Viridiplantae, Streptophyta, Magnoliopsida, Fabales, Fabaceae. The transcript has 4 exons. The record is from RefSeq and is a predicted model, not a curated record.
UGGAGGAGCCACCGCCGCCAGAUCCACCGCUGCCGAAGCUCUACGCCGCCUGAGCCGCCGAAAACCGCCACUGAAGUCCUUUUUCCCUGGGGCUGAGUUGUGGUUCUUGCAUGCUGAGUGCAGUACCCGUGCAUGCGACAUCAAGUUACUGCGUCGUCAACGGAGUCACCGCCGUUCCGUUUUCCCGGAUACUCGUUGGGUUUAGUUCUUACGUGCCGUGGUUAAAGUUGCUGUGUUUGCUGUGAAAGAAAUUAGGGCUGAGGCCUAAGUUGCCGUUGAUUUCGGGCUGAGCAAAAAGAGUUCAGUUGACGAGUGUGGGUUAUGGUUUUGCUUAACGAGGAACCGGAAGAAGAAGCAUUAAGAGGUGUUAUACUGCGUUUGGU